Long non-coding RNA from Salvelinus fontinalis (brook trout), 162 nucleotides. RefSeq lists it as uncharacterized. NCBI's taxonomy places the organism in Eukaryota, Metazoa, Chordata, Actinopteri, Salmoniformes, Salmonidae. The transcript has 3 exons. The record is from RefSeq and is a predicted model, not a curated record.
UAUGGUGUUCCCUAAAGCACCAGGUGUAUGGUGUCCCCUAAAGCACCAGGUGUAUGGUGUCCCCUAAAGCACCAGGUGUAUGGUGUCCCCUAAAGCACCAGGUGUAUGGUGUCCCCUAAAGCACCAGGUGUAUGGUGUCCCCUAAAGCACCAGGUGUAGAGG